GAUGAACGCUGGCGGCGUGCCUAAUACAUGCAAGUCGAGCGAACGGACGAGAAGCUUGCUUCUCUGAUGUUAGCGGCGGACGGGUGAGUAACACGUGGAUAACCUCCCUAUAAGACUGGGAUAACUUCGGGACACCGGAGCUUAUCCCGGAUGAUCUUUUGAUCCGCAUGGGUGAAAAGUGAAAGACGGUCUUGCUGUCACUUAUCGAGGCAUCUGGGCUGCUUUAGCUAGUUGUUAAGGUAACGGCUUACCAAGGCAACUAUGCAUAACCGACCUGAGAGAGUGAUCGGCCACACGGGAACUGAGACACGGUCCAGACUCCUACGGGAGGCAGCAGUAGGGAAUCGUCCGCAAUGGGCGAAAGCCUGACGGAGCAGCGGCGCGUGAGUGAUGAAGGUCUUCGGAUCGUAAAGCUCUGUUAUGAGUGAAGAACAUAUGUGUAAGUAACUGUGCACAGCUUGACGGUACCUGAUCAGAAAGCCACGGCUAACUACGUG
This 497-nucleotide ribosomal RNA is filed under the name uncultured bacterium. RNAcentral's name for it is "partial 16S ribosomal RNA". It matches the Rfam family "Bacterial small subunit ribosomal RNA", at positions 28 to 507 of the family's 1533-position model. The record is from RNAcentral.